UACGUAGGGUGCAAGCGUUGUCCGGAAUUAUUGGGCGUAAAGAGCUCGUAGGCGGCUGUUCGAGUCGGGUGUGAAAUCCUGAGGCUUAACCUUGGGUCUGCAUUCGAUACUGGGCGGCUUGAGUCUGGUAGGGGGAUCUGGAAUUCCUGGUGUAGCGGUGGAAUGUGCAGAUAUCAGGAGGAACACCGGUGGCGAAGGCGGGUCUCUGGGCCGAUACUGACGCUGAGACGCGAAAGCGUGGGGAGCGAACAGG
This 253-nucleotide ribosomal RNA is filed under the name uncultured bacterium. Its description in RNAcentral is "partial 16S ribosomal RNA". It matches the Rfam family "Bacterial small subunit ribosomal RNA", at positions 524 to 776 of the family's 1533-position model. The record is from RNAcentral.